GUGUUGUAUGAAAGGAGAGACGGUUAGCACUCCCCUAGACAAGGAUGGAAUAACACAAAUAUUAGCCGGGGCACCUCUACUCGUGCGGGUAGAGCCGGCUAUAGUUUUUUU
Molecule: small nuclear RNA, 111 nt
Organism: Planococcus citri (citrus mealybug)
Lineage: Eukaryota; Metazoa; Arthropoda; Insecta; Hemiptera; Pseudococcidae
Source: RefSeq, a predicted model, not a curated record